Molecule: ribosomal RNA, 460 nt
Filed under: uncultured bacterium
Lineage: Bacteria
Description: partial 16S ribosomal RNA
Rfam family: Bacterial small subunit ribosomal RNA
Source: RNAcentral
CCUACGGUAGGCAGCAGUGAGGAAUAUUGGUCAAUGGACGAGAGUCUGAACCAGCCAAGUAGCGUGAAGGAUGAAUGCUCUAUGGGUUGUAAACUUCUUUUAUAUGGGAAUAAAAUGUUCCACGUGUGGGAUUUUGUAUGUACCAUAUGAAUAAGGAUCGGCUAACUCCGUGCCAGCAGCCGCGGUAAUACGGAGGAUCCGAGCGUUAUCCGGAUUUAUUGGGUUUAAAGGGAGCGUAGGUGGAUAAUUAAGUCAGUUGUGAAAGUUUGUGGCUCAACCGUAAAAUUGCAGUUGAAACUGGCAGUCUUGAGUACAGUAGAGGUAGGCGGAAUUCGUGGUGUAGCGGUGAAAUGCUUAGAUAUCACGAAGAACUCCGAUUGCGAAGGCAGUUCACUGGACUGUAACUGACACUGAGGCUCGAAAGUGUGGGUAUCAAACAGGAUUAGAUACCCGAGUAGUC